This 459-nucleotide ribosomal RNA is filed under the name uncultured bacterium. RNAcentral's name for it is "partial 16S ribosomal RNA". It matches the Rfam family "Bacterial small subunit ribosomal RNA", at positions 338 to 795 of the family's 1533-position model. The record is from RNAcentral.
CCUACGGGAGACAGCAGUGAGGAAUAUUGGUCAAUGGCCGAGAGGCUGAACCAGCCAAGUCGCGUGAGGGAAUACGGCCCUACGGGUUGUAAACCUCUUUUGUCGGGGAGCAAAGCGAGUCACGUGUGCCUCAUUGGGAGUACCCGAAGAAAAAGCAUUGGCUAACUCCGUGCAAGCAGCCGCGGUAAUACGGAGGAUGCGAGCGUUAUCCGGAUUUAUUGGGUUAAAAGGGUGAGCAGGAGGAGGUGCAAGUCAGCGGUCAAAUUGCGGGGCGCAACCCCGUACUGCCGUUGAAACUGCAUCCCUUGAGUGCGCGAGAAGUAUGCGGAAUGCGUGGUGUAGCGGUGAAAUGCAUAGAUAUCACGCAGAACUCCGAUUGCGAAGGCAGCAUACCGGCGCGCAACUGACGCUCAGGCACGAAAGCGUGGGUAUCGAACGGGAUUAGAUACCCUGGUAGUC